Molecule: ribosomal RNA, 434 nt
Filed under: uncultured bacterium
Lineage: Bacteria
Description: bacterial SSU rRNA
Rfam family: Bacterial small subunit ribosomal RNA
Source: RNAcentral
GGGCCCGCACAAGCGGUGGAGUAUGUGGUUUAAUUCGAUGCAACGCGAAGAACCUUACCAGGGUUUGACAUCCUGCGAAUCUCUUGGAAACAGGAGAGUGCCUUCGGGAACGCAGUGACAGGUGCUGCAUGGCUGUCGUCAGCUCGUGUUGUGAAAUGUUGGGUUAAGUCCCGUAACGAGCGCAACCCUUGUCCUUAUUUGCCAGCGCGUAAUGGCGGGAACUCUAAGGAGACUGCCGGUGACAAACCGGAGGAAGGUGGGGACGACGUCAAGUCAUCAUGGCCCUUACGAGUAGGGCUACACACGUGCUACAAUGGUCGGUACAAAGGGUUGCCAACUCGCGAGAGUGAGCCAAUCCCGAAAAGCCGAUCUCAGUCCGGAUCGGAGUCUGCAACUCGACUCCGUGAAGUCGGAAUCGCUAGUAAUCGUGAAUC